ACCUGGCUGGCUCAGUCAGUAGAGUGUGGGACUCUUGAUCUCAGGGCUGUGAGUUCGAGCCCCAUGUUGGGUG
Molecule: transfer RNA, 73 nt
Filed under: Ailuropoda melanoleuca (giant panda)
Lineage: Eukaryota; Metazoa; Chordata; Mammalia; Carnivora; Ursidae
Rfam family: tRNA
About the family: Transfer RNA (tRNA) molecules are approximately 80 nucleotides in length. Their secondary structure includes four short double-helical elements and three loops (D, anti-codon, and T loops).
Source: Rfam by way of RNAcentral